This 57-nucleotide transfer RNA is filed under the name Philantomba monticola (Blue duiker). RNAcentral's name for it is "partial tRNA-Pro". Lineage: Eukaryota; Metazoa; Chordata; Mammalia; Artiodactyla; Bovidae. The record is from RNAcentral.
AGGCUAAAGCCUCACUAUCAACACCCAAAGCUGAAGUUCUAUUUAAACUAUUCCCUG